Molecule: transfer RNA, 70 nt
Filed under: Paratoxodera polyacantha
Lineage: Eukaryota; Metazoa; Arthropoda; Insecta; Mantodea; Toxoderidae
Description: tRNA-Glu
Source: RNAcentral
AUUUAUAUAGUUUAAUAGUAAAACAUUACAUUUUCAUUGUAAAAAUAAAUAUUUUCAAUUUUUAUAAAUA